This 245-nucleotide ribosomal RNA is filed under the name uncultured bacterium. RNAcentral's name for it is "partial small subunit ribosomal RNA". It matches the Rfam family "Bacterial small subunit ribosomal RNA", at positions 26 to 285 of the family's 1533-position model. The record is from RNAcentral.
AGAACGAACGCUGGCGGCGUGCCUAACACAUGCAAGUCGCACGAGAAAGGGGAGCAAUCCCUGAGUAAAGUGGCGCACGGGUGGGUAACACGUGAAUAAUCUACCUCCGAGUGGGGAAUAACUGAGAGAAAUCUUAGCUAAUACCGCAUAACACUUACGAGUCAAAGCAGCAAUGCGCUUGGAGAGGAGUUCGCGGCCGAUUAGUUAGUUGGCGGAGUAAUGGCCCACCAAGACGAUGAUCGGUA